This 1114-nucleotide long non-coding RNA is filed under the name Scleropages formosus (Asian bonytongue). RNAcentral's name for it is "lncRNA (ENSSFOG00015026801.1)". The record is from RNAcentral. Lineage: Eukaryota; Metazoa; Chordata; Actinopteri; Osteoglossiformes; Osteoglossidae.
CAAGAAAUUAAUGAGCAGGAAGAAAAAAUGAAAAAUAACCCUUUCAUCUUUCAUCCUAUGGAUGACUCAAGUUUUGCUGCCAUCACAUGUACACAGUUGUCACUUGAGGACCUGUGGAAGCAGCAGUGUGACUGUGCUGCUGUACUGAAAGAAGUAUUUGCAGUGGAAAGACACUUUCUGUUUCCGCGCAUGUUCUUUCACUUUCCACCAGUCAUCAUUCCGCUUCGACAAAUUUGGAGGAAUCUGGCCACAUCUUUCUGGAAACUGAGCACAUUUGAAAUGAGUGUCAUUGAAAAGUUUAAAAAUAUCAUCAAUGAUAUGUUGGAAAUCUUAAAGCAAAUGCCUGUGUUUCUGGAUCUGCGGGGUGGUGAAAUAGCCAAGCACAUGGUGUCUGUGUUGGUGACCAUGGCUAAACAUCUGGAAAAGGAUGUUGCUGAAGCCCGAGAAAGGUCUGGAGAAAGUUUCAGUAUAUGUGUGAAAAAUACUUGGAAGGAAACAAAGCCAGUGAACUGGAAAAGCUUUAUGAUUUUCUCAAGAGAAAGAUGAAUGAAGACGAAAAUGAUUAUGAUAGUGAUUUGUCAGAUGGCAUCACAAGUACAAGUUGGACAUGAAGCCACAAAUGCAACUUAUUCUCGUACAGUCCUCUGUCCUCAAGUCGGACUCAUUCGCGGGGUUACAAAUGAAGCCAAAGACAAAGCAUCACAGAGGACUGUCCAUUUUUAUGAACUUUUAGUCCUGAUCAGAGUCAAGGGGUUUCAGAGCCGAUCCUGGAAUCACUGGGUGCAAGGUAGAGAGGGAAGAGCCCUGGACAGGACACCAGCGUAUCUUCACAUGACACUAUACAUGAAAAUAAUAUGUGAAAUUAACAACAACAACAACAACAAAAAAGAUUGGAAACACGAGUAAAUACAUGUAUUAGUAAAUUAGUGUUUUAAGUGACUCAACUUUUACAUGAGUAAAUUAGGUAUCUAUGUGAUGACUGGUAACUUACUAAUUUUUUCUAGUUUGUGCCCUACACCUUAAAAAUCGCACAGAUUUUUUUUAAAUUAAGGAAAGAAAUGAAAACCUUCAGCUUACCAAAUACACCAUAAUAAACCUCUGACUUCAAGAAGCA